This 84-nucleotide transfer RNA is filed under the name Haematococcus lacustris. RNAcentral's name for it is "Haematococcus pluvialis tRNA". It matches the Rfam family "tRNA". From Rfam's summary of the family: Transfer RNA (tRNA) molecules are approximately 80 nucleotides in length. Their secondary structure includes four short double-helical elements and three loops (D, anti-codon, and T loops). Further hydrogen bonds mediate the characteristic L-shaped molecular structure. tRNAs have two regions of fundamental functional importance: the anti-codon, which is responsible for specific mRNA codon recognition, and the 3' end, to which the tRNAs corresponding amino acid is attached (by aminoacyl-tRNA synthetases). tRNAs cope with the degeneracy of the genetic code in two manners: having more than one tRNA (with a specific anti-codon) for a particular amino acid; and 'wobble' base-pairing, i.e. permitting non-standard base-pairing at the 3rd anti-codon position. The record is from Rfam by way of RNAcentral. Lineage: Eukaryota; Viridiplantae; Chlorophyta; Chlorophyceae; Chlamydomonadales; Haematococcaceae.
UUCCUCGUAGUCUAGGCGGUUAGGAUACCAGAUUCUCAGUCUCUGAACACUCUGGCGACCCGGGUUCGAGUCCCGGCGGGGAAG